UACGUAGGGUGCAAGCGUUGUCCGGAAUUAUUGGGCGUAAAGAGCUUGUAGGCGGUUUGUCGCGUCUGCUGUGAAAUUUCGGGGCUCAACCCCGAACUUGCAGUGGGUACGGGCAGACUAGAGUGUGGUAGGGGAGACUGGAAUUCCUGGUGUAGCGGUGAAAUGCGCAGAUGUCAGGAGGAACACCGAUGGCGAAGGCAGGUCUCUGGGCCACUACUGACGCUGAGAAGCGAAAGCAUGGGGAGCGAACAGG
Molecule: ribosomal RNA, 253 nt
Filed under: uncultured bacterium
Lineage: Bacteria
Description: partial 16S ribosomal RNA
Rfam family: Bacterial small subunit ribosomal RNA
Source: RNAcentral